CACGUAGUUAGCCGUGGCUUCCUCAUAAAGUACCGUCACUUGCAUGUCAUUCCCUACAUGCAUCGUUCUUCCUUUAUAACAGAGGUUUACAUACCGAAAUACUUCCUCCCUCACGCGGCGUUGCUCGGUCAGGGCUUCCCCCAUUGCCGAAAAUUCCCUACUGCUGCCUCCCGUAGGAGUCUGGGCCGUGUCUCAGUCCCAGUGUGGCCGUCCACCCUCUCAGGUCGGCUACGCAUCGUCGCCUUGGUAGGCCGUUACCCUACCAACUAGCUAAUGCGCCAUAAGUCCAUCCUUCAGCUAUCCCGUGGGAUAUUUAAUAUGUAGAUCAUGCGAUCUUCAUACCUAUGCGGUCUUAGCUAUCAUUUCUAAUAGUUAUCCCCCUCUUAAGGCCAGGUUACUUAUGUAUUACUCACCCGUUCGCCACUCAUAUCCGAAGAUAUGCGUUCGACUUGCAUGUAUUAGGCACGCCGCCAGCGUUCAUCCUGAGCCAGGAUA
RNAcentral lists this ribosomal RNA (495 nucleotides) under uncultured Coprobacillus sp. RNAcentral's name for it is "partial 16S ribosomal RNA". The record is from RNAcentral. Lineage: Bacteria; Bacillati; Bacillota; Erysipelotrichia; Erysipelotrichales; Coprobacillaceae.